GUAGGUGGCAAGCGUUGUCCGGAAUUAUUGGGCGUAAAGCGCGCGCAGGCGGUUCUUUAAGUCUGAUGUGAAAGCCCACGGCUCAACCGUGGAGGGUCAUUGGAAACUGGAGAACUUGAGUACAGAAGAGGAAAGCGGAAUUCCACGUGUAGCGGUGAAAUGCGUAGAGAUGUGGAGGAACACCAGUGGCGAAGGCGGCUUUCUGGUCUGUAACUGACGCUGAGGCGCGAAAGCGUGGGGAGCAAACAGGGAUUAGAUACCCUGGUAGUCCACGCCGUAAACGAUGAGUGCUAAGUGUUAGGGGGUUUCCGCCCCCUUAGUGCUGCAGCUAACGCAUUAAGCACUCGCUGGGGAUACGGCGCAAGGCUG
This 369-nucleotide ribosomal RNA is filed under the name uncultured organism. RNAcentral describes it as "partial 16S ribosomal RNA". It matches the Rfam family "Bacterial small subunit ribosomal RNA", at positions 527 to 896 of the family's 1533-position model. The record is from RNAcentral.